Molecule: ribosomal RNA, 492 nt
Filed under: uncultured bacterium
Lineage: Bacteria
Description: partial 16S ribosomal RNA
Rfam family: Bacterial small subunit ribosomal RNA
Source: RNAcentral
AGUGAACGCUGGCGGUAGGCCUAACACAUGCAAGUCGAACGGCAGCACAGUAAGAGCUUGCUCUUACGGGUGGCGAGUGGCGGACGGGUGAGGAAUACAUCGGAAUCUACUUUUUCGUGGGGGAUAACGUAGGGAAACUUACGCUAAUACCGCAUACGACCUACGGGUGAAAGCAGGGGAUCUUCGGACCUUGCGCGAAUGAAUGAGCCGAUGUCGGAUUAGCUAGUUGGCGGGGUAAAGGCCCACCAAGGCGACGAUCCGUAGCUGGUCUGAGAGGAUGAUCAGCCACACUGGAACUGAGACACGGUCCAGACUCCUACGGGAGGCAGCAGUGGGGAAUAUUGGACAAUGGGCGCAAGCCUGAUCCAGCCAUACCGCGUGGGUGAAGAAGGCCUCCGGGUUGUAAGGCCCUUUUGUUGGGAAAGAAAAGCAGCAGGUUAAUACCCCGCUGUUCUGACGGUACCCAAAGAAUAAGCACCGGCUAACUUCGUG